This is a long non-coding RNA of Bos taurus (domestic cattle), 1533 nucleotides long. The record is from Ensembl. Lineage: Eukaryota; Metazoa; Chordata; Mammalia; Artiodactyla; Bovidae.
GGAGGAUUCUUUAUCAACUGAGCUAUCAGGGAAGCCCAUGGAAAAGAAUAAACAGCUGUAAACACUACUUUAUUAAGCACGAGUGUGUAAUUCUCUGAAAUAUUUCUUUGUGGGAAAGAGAUUCUGCCCCGCACGGCCCAAUUCAAAGCUUCCGCUAGUGCUAAGCCCAAUGUUUCCGAAUUUCCCGCUGACCGAGACUCCAGGUCCACAGAUCGCCCCUCGCAGCCGAUCCCCGACCCCGGCCCUGGCGGAGGCGGGAGACGGCUGCGGACCUGCAGCCCCGGUAGACAGAGGACCAGAGUGCGGGCCUCUCAAAGGCGGGGACUUGGUGGAAGCGGUCCAGUUCUCGCGAGGUUUCGUCCUGACCGGAGCAGGCGACAGCUCCGCGGAGAGAGUGGGUUUCGCUCACAGGAGGGAGCCGAAGGGCCCGGAGUGGUCGUUGCUACCCGGGGUCCGAGCCGGGGGAGAAGCCGUCACCUGUAAAAAGCCAGUUCUCCCUAAAGUCACCCCUGGGGAAGUCCAAGGCAGCGCUGGCCUCUUCCUUCUGCUGUGGGGGCAGCGCAGGCAAACCUUGCCGGCUAAAGAGAACCGCCCUAAGCAAAAAAGAAAAAUCGUUUCAGCCCGUGGAUGUUUCCCGUCGAGGCUAGGACACUGGGCCCUCCAGCGCCGCAUAGUGGUCUUGCAUACUGCUGAGGGCCGCGGAUCCGCCCUGUGGGUGCCCGAUCUCGCAAUAAGGAGCGUGGGGGCUUCACCGCCAACGACUGUCUGGUUUUAAUUAAAAGAUUUCUUGAAAAACGGCAGUGUGCACAGCCUUUUCUGACCUCACAGAUCCCUUUUAGAUUGUUCAGCCCUCGUCAUCCUUUUGACAGCAGUAUUCUCCGUGCAUUUUAUCCUUGAAAUGAAAUGAAGUCGCUCAGUCGUGUCCGAAUCUUUGCGAUCCCAUGGACUGUAGCCCACCAGGCUCCUCGGUCCAUGGGAUUUUCCAGGCAUGAAUACUGGAGUGGGUUGCCAUUUCUUUCUCCAGGAGUGGAGAUUAUCCUUAAUCUUUCCUAAAAUUCGUGUUUGUGUUGGAUACGCCAAGAACAUAAACACAGGUGUCCGGGCUCCCGGGGAGCUGGAGCUUAAGGUGGAUCUAGUGAAGCAAACCAGCGGCGUCUCUCCCAGGUGGUCAUCCGGUGGCUGCCCCCCAGCAUCACCAAGGAGCAGCUGGAACAGCAGCUGCACCUGCUGCCCGCACACCUUUACCGAGCUCAGGUGAGAAGCCUUUACGAACAUUAAAAGGCCAACCUGGAGUUCCCUGGUGGUACUGUGGUUAGUACUCCGAGCUUUCUCUGCUGGGCCUGGGUUCAACCCCUGGUUGGAAACUAAGACCCCACAAGCUGCACUGCGGGACCUUUGAUUUUCUACCUCUGAGGACCAGCUUUCUAACCCUGGCUUUGUGCAGUAGAGAGACCAACCUAAAGUGCCUCUCUGAAAUCUUUAAAAAGAUCUGUUAAUAUUUUGUUUGGUUUUCUUGCUAAAGAAUAUCCAGAU